RNAcentral lists this long non-coding RNA (268 nucleotides) under Elaeis guineensis (African oil palm). RNAcentral's name for it is "long non-coding RNA (EGUI_LNC007013)". Lineage: Eukaryota; Viridiplantae; Streptophyta; Magnoliopsida; Arecales; Arecaceae. The record is from RNAcentral.
AAGUACUACUGCAUGGUUAAUAAGAUAGUAUAUCCUAUCUUCUAAGGGAAAAAGCUAUAUGACCCAAACCAGUUACUAAACUGGUUAUCAAUCUCACAGGGAACUUGGUAUAAUGACUGGCCCAACCCAGUAGGAAUCACACCAAUCACCUCAUUGCCAAAGCUGGGCCAUGAAGCAAGGCUUGUCUUCAGAUGUACAAACAACUUGCCUAGAAGAUGGCCCAGCCAAAAGCCGAAACUUUUGUCUGAUCAACAUAUUGUUUAUGGAA